UGCCACGCCAUGGGUGAAUCUGGUAGUGGAUGGUGCCACGCCAUGGGUGAAUCCUGUAGUGGAUGGUGCCACACUAUGGGUGAUUUCGGUAGUGGAUGGUGCCACACCAUGGGUGAAUCCGGUAGUGGAUGGUGCCACGCCAUGGGUGAAUCCUGUAGUGGAUGGUGCCACGCCAUGGGUGAAUCCGGUAAUGGAUGGUGCCACGGCAUGGGUGAAUCCGGUAGUGGAUGGUGCCACGCCAUGGGUGAAUCCGGUAGUGGAUGGUGCCACGCCAUGGGUGAAUCCUGUAGUGGAUGGUGCCAAAACCGGACGGCGACAUAAGAAUGUGUCUGGACAAGCAAACACAGAAAUCAUACGUGGCAGGUAGCCAAUCCCCACAGAACAUUAACUUCUGCAAGGAUUGAAUGGGUCUGUCAUGUUCAGUAAACUGGAUCUUAAAUGGGUCUACCAUCAAUUGGAGCCAACACCAGAGUCGAGAGGCAUAACGACGUUUGCAGUGCAUAAUGGGAUAUAAAAGACUAAUAUUUGGAGUUUCAUGGGCGAGCGAGCAGUAUCAACAUGAAAUCACAACAGCCCUGGCAGAUAUCGAGUGGGUGGAGAACAUAUCGGAUGACAUCAUCAUCCACGCCCCAGACAGGAAGACCCCAUGACCAGCGGUUACAUGCUGUCCUCAACAUGCCGGAGAACUGUGGGCUGACUCUCAACUCAGAGAAAUGUCAAUUCAACAACAUGGACAAAUUGGUGUUUAUGGGCAUGUUACUCUCACAGAAGGGCAUUCGGGCCCACCGCUGAAAGGAGUGAGAACAGUGGUCGAGGCCCACAGUACAUGUCAUCCCAGUUCCAGAACUUCUGCCAGGAAAACGGGAUACAGCAUGCAAAAAAAAAAAACGAUGGCGAAAUGGGUACAGGCAAAUGGAAACAGAUCCGGAUUACCCAUGUUGAGGGGCUGGACCGGAAGCAGGAGCUACGCAAGUGUACAACAGGUCCAUUGAUCACUCUACCCACGGGUAGGAGCCCAGCUGAGCUCCUUUUCAAAAGGAAAAAUAAGGGAGAAGCUUCCGGAUAUAGCUACACCGCAGAGUGACCUGGAGACGCGGGACUAUGACGCUGAGCAGAAAGAGAAAUCCAAGAUCUACGCAGACAACCGUCGCUGAGCCAAACACUCUGACGUGGACGUCGGACACCAAGUUCUCCUAAAACAGGACAAAGCAGACAAGUUCACAAUGACCUUCAACGAGACACCACACACUGUGAUCAAUAAGGAGGGAAACAAUGUGGUUGUUCAAUCUACAACCAGAGCCAGGUAUUCCAGGAUUAGAACAUUCAUCAAGAGGUAUACAACCAGAGCCAGGUAUUCCAGGAAUAGAACAUUCAUCAAGGGGUACACAACUGAGGAGCCAGAUCCAGAUCCAAAGGACACCACACACAUGAAAGAGACUGUGGAACAGAGUCCUACUCUGAGACGUUACACAGAGUCCAAACCAGAGACUAUCUGUUAGGGAUCACCACAAAGACCGUAUUUUGUCUUACAGUAACAAAACAUUCUGCACUUUUUUUGUUUUUUUUACAACAUAUCUGUUUUUGCAUUAGUUCAGGCCUCACAGACAAAUGAAACUGCCA
This 1620-nucleotide long non-coding RNA is filed under the name Salmo salar (Atlantic salmon). RNAcentral describes it as "lncRNA (ENSSSAG00000092237.1, ENSSSAG00000112428.1)". The record is from RNAcentral. Lineage: Eukaryota; Metazoa; Chordata; Actinopteri; Salmoniformes; Salmonidae.